CAAAGGGUCGCUGGGAAAACUAAGCCUUACUGUCCAUCUUGCCUUCAGGAUAAUGUGAAAUAUGGCCUAAUUUUUGAAGUUUUUUUCUUAGAAAUUUUACUGAAUCCAAAAUAAAACAAGAAGAUCAUGAGUCCAGAAUUCUCUUUUCUCAACACUAGAUGGCAGUAGAGUUAAAGAAAAAAAUCCCAGCAGUUCUUUGUACAGGGAUUUGGUGAUUUUUCCCAUAAAGCUGCGAUGAGGAUGAACUCAGAGCAAAAUCUAUAACUCAGGUGGCAGAGAGGAGAAGCAGCUGGACAUCGGAGACUAUGGCUGGACAUUGGAGAGAAGUGGUUUGACUUCAGAGGGACAGCUUGACAGUGAAGAAUUCGGCCAGAGAUAGCUGGACUUCAGGGGAAGAUGAUCUUUCCGCCUCAUCCCCCUUUCAGCUCCCCUUCCUGCUGAGAGACACUUUAAUCGGCAAUAAAAUCCCCCAUGUUUACCAUC
RNAcentral lists this long non-coding RNA (483 nucleotides) under Homo sapiens (human). RNAcentral describes it as "HSALNT0353331". Lineage: Eukaryota; Metazoa; Chordata; Mammalia; Primates; Hominidae. The record is from RNAcentral.